GACAUAGGUGGCGAACGUUAUCCGGAAUUAUUGGGCGUAAAGCGUCCGCAGGUGGCCUAUCAAGUCUGCUGUCAAAGACCGGGGCUUAACCCCAGAAAGGCAGUGGAAACUGAAAGGCUAGAGGAUGGUAGGGGCAGAGGGAAUUCCCAGUGUAGCGGUGAAAUGCGUAGAGAUUGGGAAGAACACCGGUGGCGAAAGCGCUCUGCUGGGCCAUAACUGACACUCAGGGACGAAAGCUAGGGGAGCGAAUGGG
Molecule: ribosomal RNA, 253 nt
Filed under: uncultured bacterium
Lineage: Bacteria
Description: partial 16S ribosomal RNA
Rfam family: Bacterial small subunit ribosomal RNA
Source: RNAcentral